GAGAAGGUGAACUACUAAGUCCAAUGUAGUAUGACUCCGACGACAGACAUCUUCAAUGGCCACAGAAAUGCGAUGAGGAAACUGUGUCUCAGAAGUAAGACAAUGCAUCCAAGAUGACAGACCUUAUGAGUGCAGGCCUGGAAUUUAAACCCAGGUUAGAAGGACGUGGAAAGAAUACUACCUGCAAGCCGACGAGAGAGGCCUGGAGCAGAUCCUUCCUUCACGGCACUCGGAAGAUGCCAAGCCUGCCAUCUUGAUUUUAGACUUCCAGCCUCCAGAACUGAGAGACAACACGUUGUUUCUGUUGUUUGAGCCACACAGUUGGUAGAACUGUUAAAGUAGCUCCAGGAAACUAAUUCAGUGACUAAUGUUUUUGAACAGUCUUUGUGCAUUUUAAAUAAACAUAUUUAAUAUAUUACA
RNAcentral lists this long non-coding RNA (420 nucleotides) under Homo sapiens (human). Its description in RNAcentral is "HSALNT0217802". Lineage: Eukaryota; Metazoa; Chordata; Mammalia; Primates; Hominidae. The record is from RNAcentral.